Molecule: ribosomal RNA, 638 nt
Filed under: Staphylococcus warneri
Lineage: Bacteria; Bacillati; Bacillota; Bacilli; Caryophanales; Staphylococcaceae
Description: bacterial SSU rRNA
Rfam family: Bacterial small subunit ribosomal RNA
Source: RNAcentral
UGCAAGUCGAGCGAACAGAUAAGGAGCUUGCUCCUUUGACGUUAGCGGCGGACGGGUGAGUAACACGUGGAUAACCUACCUAUAAGACUGGGAUAACUUCGGGAAACCGGAGCUAAUACCGGAUAACAUAUUGAACCGCAUGGUUCAAUAGUGAAAGGCGGCUUUGCUGUCACUUAUAGAUGGAUCCGCGCCGUAUUAGCUAGUUGGUAAGGUAACGGCUUACCAAGGCAACGAUACGUAGCCGACCUGAGAGGGUGAUCGGCCACACUGGAACUGAGACACGGUCCAGACUCCUACGGGAGGCAGCAGUAGGGAAUCUUCCGCAAUGGGCGAAAGCCUGACGGAGCAACGCCGCGUGAGUGAUGAAGGUCUUCGGAUCGUAAAACUCUGUUAUCAGGGAAGAACAAAUGUGUAAGUAACUGUGCACAUCUUGACGGUACCUGAUCAGAAAGCCACGGCUAACUACGUGCCAGCAGCCGCGGUAAUACGUAGGUGGCAAGCGUUAUCCGGAAUUAUUGGGCGUAAAGCGCGCGUAGGCGGUUUUUUAAGUCUGAUGUGAAAGCCCACGGCUCAACCGUGGAGGGUCAUUGGAAACUGGAAAACUUGAGUGCAGAAGAGGAAAGUGGAAUUCCAUGUGU